AACUGCUGGAUGGUCAAGGUCAUCUACUUUUGAGCGAUUCUAUCAUAAGCCCAUCCCUUCUCAGUCUGAUUUCAAUGUUAUCCUAGAAGAUAAAGCUGAUCCUUAGGUCAAGCUCCUCUCUACUGAUAUGGACACAGAUUGUACCUUUAGGCCUUUAUAGUGAUUCUUUGAGUAUACUUAUUUUCCUAGUUAUUGCCCUUGCUAUGUACAGCAACGUGUGUUGUUCAUAUUUACUUUCACAUUCCUUAUUGUUUGAUCCAAUUUAUUGUUUCUAUACAAUAUACCAAUAAUUGUACAUCCACUUUGGAAGCUAUGCUGCAAAAAUUUUGGACCGAGUGACACAUCACGUGAAUGAGGUUUUAUACCUUUGAAAAAUUGCUAAAUUAUUAAUAAUUAAUGAGAUUCAUUGGCCAAAUACAUUGUCAUAUAUUCAUCUCCCCAUUAGUGGAAUCACAAUCUCACAUCACAUCUUAGAUGCUUGCGAGAUUAAGGAUUGGAUAGCAGAACUACACAGACUAGGUCCACCUAAUAUUGUAUUAGCAAUUGCUGGAAAUAAAUGUGACCUUGAAGAUAAAAGAGAAAUUCUAGCUGAACAAGGUCAGACUUAUGCAUCAGAAGUUAAUGCCAUAUUUGGAGAGACUAGUGCUCUCACUGCUAGGAAUGUUGAGGAAAUGUUCAUUGAAAUAACUCGUAAGUUACCACCAGAUUGUUUAACUAGUUUACCAGCUGGUGCCUCUCUCUUAA
This is a long non-coding RNA of Amphimedon queenslandica, 744 nucleotides long. RefSeq lists it as uncharacterized. The transcript is spliced from 4 exons. NCBI's taxonomy places the organism in Eukaryota, Metazoa, Porifera, Demospongiae, Haplosclerida, Niphatidae. The record is from RefSeq and is a predicted model, not a curated record.